RNAcentral lists this long non-coding RNA (532 nucleotides) under Pan troglodytes (chimpanzee). RNAcentral's name for it is "long non-coding RNA NONPTRT012312". The record is from RNAcentral. Lineage: Eukaryota; Metazoa; Chordata; Mammalia; Primates; Hominidae.
CUGAAAGAUGGACAGAGAGACAGGAGAUGGUCCUUUAUAAUGCAGUGUGAUCUGUGCUGCAAUAGAGUUUUGGAAGCUAGAAGUUCAAAACGAGGUGUUGGCAGCACCAUGCUCUCUCUGAAGAUGCUAGGAAGAAUCUGCUCCAUGCCUUUCCAUUCGCUUCUGGGGUUUCCUGCAAGCCCUGACAUUCCUUGGCUUGUGGAUGCAUCACCCCAGUUUCCGUCCCCAUCAUCACAUGGCCUCCUCUCUGUGUGUGCCUCUGCGUUCCCUCUAUUCUUCUUCUAAGGACACCAACACCAGUCAUAGUGGAUUAAGGGUCCACUCCUAACUAAUUACAUCUGCAACAACCCUAUUUCCAAAUAAAGUCACAUUCUAAGAUUCCUAGGGAGAACAUGAAUUUUUGGGGGUGUGUGGAUACUGUUCAACCUGGGACAUGGAGUAAAUAAAUGGCAAGGAAGAUUACAGAUGACUUUAAGCUAAAGAGGGAGAUAGGGUUAAAUGUAGGACUUUUUUUUUUUUUCCAGGACGGGAG